This 648-nucleotide ribosomal RNA is filed under the name uncultured Bacilli bacterium. RNAcentral's name for it is "bacterial SSU rRNA". It matches the Rfam family "Bacterial small subunit ribosomal RNA", at positions 88 to 722 of the family's 1533-position model. Lineage: Bacteria; Bacillati; Bacillota; Bacilli. The record is from RNAcentral.
CCAGCGAGUGGCGGACGGGUGAGUAACACGUAGGUAACCUGCCCCAAAGCGGGGGAUAACAUUUGGAAACAGAUGCUAAUACCGCAUAAUAAUUUGAAUCGCAUGAUUCAAAUUUAAAAGAUGGCUUCGGCUAUCACUUUGGGAUGGACCUGCGGCGCAUUAGCUUGUUGGUAGGGUAACGGCCUACCAAGGCUGUGAUGCGUAGCCGAGUUGAGAGACUGAUCGGCCACAAUGGAACUGAGACACGGUCCAUACUCCUACGGGAGGCAGCAGUAGGGAAUCUUCCACAAUGGGCGCAAGCCUGAUGGAGCAACACCGCGUGAGUGAAGAAGGGUUUCGGCUCGUAAAGCUCUGUUGUUAGAGAAGAACGUGCGUGAGAGCAACUGUUCACGCAGUGACGGUAUCUAACCAGAAAGUCACGGCUAACUACGUGCCAGCAGCCGCGGUAAUACGUAGGUGGCAAGCGUUAUCCGGAUUUAUUGGGCGUAAAGCGAGCGCAGGCGGUUUGAUAAGUCUGAUGUGAAAGCCUUUGGCUUAACCAAAGAAGUGCAUCGGAAACUGUCAGACUUGAGUGCAGAAGAGGACAGUGGAACUCCAUGUGUAGCGGUGGAAUGCGUAGAUAUAUGGAAGAACACCAGUGGCGAAGGC